RNAcentral lists this ribosomal RNA (831 nucleotides) under uncultured bacterium. Its description in RNAcentral is "bacterial SSU rRNA". It matches the Rfam family "Bacterial small subunit ribosomal RNA", at positions 61 to 890 of the family's 1533-position model. The record is from RNAcentral.
GUCGAACGAAGCACUUUAUUUGAUUUCCUUCGGGACUGAUUAUUUUGUGACUGAGUGGCGGACGGGUGAGUAACGCGUGGGUAACCUGCCUUGUACAGGGGGAUAACAGUUGGAAACGGCUGCUAAUACCGCAUAAGCGCACGGCAUCGCAUGAUGCAGUGUGAAAAACUCCGGUGGUAUAAGAUGGACCCGCGUUGGAUUAGCUAGUUGGUGAGGUAACGGCCCACCAAGGCGACGAUCCAUAGCCGACCUGAGAGGGUGACCGGCCACAUUGGGACUGAGACACGGCCCAAACUCCUACGGGAGGCAGCAGUGGGGAAUAUUGCACAAUGGGCGAAAGCCUGAUGCAGCGACGCCGCGUGAGCGAAAAAGUAUUUCGGUAUGUAAAGCUCUAUCAGCAGGGAAGAUAAUGACGGUACCUGACUAAGAAGCACCGGCUAAAUACGUGCCAGCAGCCGCGGUAAUACGUAUGGUGCAAGCGUUAUCCGGAUUUACUGGGUGUAAAGGGAGCGCAGGCGGUGCGGCAAGUCUGAUGUGAAAGCCCGGGGCUCAACCCCGGUACUGCAUUGGAAACUGUCGUACUAGAGUGUCGGAGGGGUAAGCGGAAUUCCUAGUGUAGCGGUGAAAUGCGUAGAUAUUAGGAGGAACACCAGUGGCGAAGGCGGCUUACUGGACGAUAACUGACGCUGAGGCUCGAAAGCGUGGGGAGCAAACAGGAUUAGAUACCCUGGUAGUCCACGCCGUANACGAUGAAUACUAGGUGUUGGGAAGCNUUGCUUCUCGGUGCCGUCGCAAACGCAGUAAGUAUUCCACCUGGGGAGUACGUUCGCA